Non-coding RNA from Macaca mulatta (Rhesus monkey), 1622 nucleotides. NCBI's taxonomy places the organism in Eukaryota, Metazoa, Chordata, Mammalia, Primates, Cercopithecidae. The record is from RefSeq and is a predicted model, not a curated record.
GUAUGAGCCACUGUGCCCAGCCUGAAAUUCUCAAGAGUGGCUGAAAACUAUAAAGUAUAAUCUCAGUCCAUUUUAGCAGAAUAUAUGAUUGCUUCCUGUAAGUAGGGUUGAAAGGGGUAUUUAUAGAAAAAAAAUCAACAACAAAAUCGAAUGCUUGUCUAUGGAAAAUUCCCAUUAAAACGAUAGGCGUUCCUCUCAGGUACUAAGAUUCCUCAGGUAACUGCCUGAGGUCCUGGGGCAUCCAGGUAAUCAUAGAUCAUAAUUUCUCCUCACCAGUUUGCAUGUUUCAUUUAGGUAUUCUCCAAGGAGAGGGGUCCUUUUAAAGAAUGAGUACCAAGCAUCCACUCUAAAAGGAAGAUGGAGAAAACCAGUGGAAGGCCUUCCUGUUGGGUAUCAUGUGGAUUUGCCCUUGACUCUUGGGUUCACUCAGAGUCCUCUGGUGUCCCGUUUCCAGCUGAGCUGUGCAUGCACCCUGGGGAUUCAGUGGAAGAGGUGACAUCUGCUGACCCUCAGUCAUUAAUCAAGCUGCCUGCGCAGAACCAUUUCCCAAGCAGGGCUGCAGCUCUUGGGAGCUGCUGAAUCAAAUGGCGAAAGGCAAGAGCUUAUGCCCUGUCCCUGAGUUCUUGAGAGGAAUUAGAUGAUGGAGAUGGGAGGGAGUUGAUGGUAGAUAUGAGAGUAAAGAAAAGGGACUUGAGGGAAGCUGAAUUGAGGGGAUACGGCUGUCCUUUUAAUUGUGGGAAUUUUGGGGUACAUAUUCAUCCUUCAUACUGACUGAUCAAACGACAAUCCAUUGACUUCAAUACUGUGUUUGGUUGAAAAGGGCUUACCAGAAGACCUGUACCUUCAGCCUGAGGCUGCCUUGUGACAUAGGGUGCCAUCUUCCUCCUCCUUAACUCUAGAGGCAGCUUGCCCUUGGCUGUUUUCUGAAGGGGACCUUUGAAUCCCAAGGGUGGAGGGUGUGGCCUUUGAGUUGUAACUACCGAGUAGCAACUCGUUACUUGGUAGCAAUUUGCUGCCAAACACCUGUCUUGCUUCCAGGAUCAAUCUGAAUCCAGCAGUGCUGAGAAAACCCAAGAACUACAUGGCUGACAUUUCCCAUCAGAGAGCUAACAGGGCCCCUGGCUUUGCCUUCCCGCCCACCAGCCCUGGUUAAUGGAGCUUUUGUUCUGCCUGAUGCUGCCUUGCUAAUCAGAGUGUAUCAUAUGGGAGCUAUCAGGAGAGUGGGGCCUGCUUCAAGAAGGAACACAGGUUGCCUUUAGAGUUGGCUACAAAACUUAGAGCUUGGUGAUGGCUCAGGCACAAAAGAGCUGGCUGUACUUGAGGCUGAUUUCCAUUCUACCUGUGACUAUUACGUUCAAGGUAGUGAACCCUUGAAGCCUCUGGCAUCCUGAUCCCGUAAUUACUGCAGAGAAAAGAGGUAAAUCAAGAUCUGCUUGGGAAACAGCAUCAUCAUCAGUUCUGGCAUGUGCAUCUAAGCAAGCCGUGCCUCUCAGGAAGGAUCUCACUCUCUGUUGUAACUGUAUCAUACCUUUUACAAAAAGUCACUUUGAGGUCACUUUUUUUUUGUCCAGUAUUUCAAUACAUUAAAUGCAAUUACUUCAUUGUUGAUUUACCUGUCAUUA